RNAcentral lists this ribosomal RNA (515 nucleotides) under uncultured bacterium. RNAcentral describes it as "partial 16S ribosomal RNA". It matches the Rfam family "Bacterial small subunit ribosomal RNA", at positions 28 to 523 of the family's 1533-position model. The record is from RNAcentral.
GAUGAACGCUGGCGGCGUGCCUAAUACAUGUAAGUCGAGCGAAUGGAUUAAGAGCUUGCUCUUAUGAAGUUAGCGGCGGACGGGUGAGUAACACGUGGGUAACCUGCCCAUAAGACUGGGAUAACUCCGGGAAACCGGGGCUAAUACCGGAUAACAUUUUGAACCGCAUGGUUCGAAAUUGAAAGGCGGCUUCGGCUGUCACUUAUGGAUGGACCCGCGUCGCAUUAGCUAGUUGGUGAGGUAACGGCUCACCAAGGCAACGAUGCGUAGCCGACCUGGCAGGGUGAUCGGCCACACUGGGACUGAGACACGGCCCAGACUCCUACGGGAGGCAGCAGUAGGGAAUCUUCCGCAAUGGACGAAAGUCUGACGGAGCAACGCCGCGUGAGUGAUGAAGGCUUUCGGGUCGUAAAACUCUGUUGUUAGGGAAGAACAAGUGCUAGUUGAAUAAGCUGACACCUUGACGGUACCUAACCAGAAAGCCACGGCUAACUACGUGCCAGCCGCCGCAGUAA